AGGACGAACGCUGGCGGCGUGCUUAACACAUGCAAGUCGAGCGAGGCCCUCUCUUCGGAGAGGUGCCCUAGCGGCGAACGGGUGAGUAACACGUGGGCAACCUGCCCCUAGCACUGGGAUAAGCCCGGGAAACCGGGUCUAAUACCGGAUAUGACCUUCAAGGGCAUCCUCGAAGGUGUAAAGGAUUCUGGCUAGGGAUGGGCCCGCGGCCUAUCAGCUUGUUGGUGGGUAACGGCCCACCAAGGCAACGACGGGUA
Molecule: ribosomal RNA, 257 nt
Filed under: uncultured bacterium
Lineage: Bacteria
Description: partial small subunit ribosomal RNA
Rfam family: Bacterial small subunit ribosomal RNA
Source: RNAcentral